Molecule: ribosomal RNA, 253 nt
Filed under: uncultured bacterium
Lineage: Bacteria
Description: partial 16S ribosomal RNA
Rfam family: Bacterial small subunit ribosomal RNA
Source: RNAcentral
UACGUAGGGGGCUAGCGUUGUCCGGAAUCAUUGGGCGUAAAGAGCGUGUAGGCGGCCCGGUAAGUCCGCUGUGAAAGUCGGGGGCUCAACCCUCGAAUGCCGGUGGAUACUGUCGGGCUAGAGUGCGGAAGAGGCGAGUGGAAUUCCUGGUGUAGCGGUGAAAUGCGCAGAUAUCAGGAGGAACACCGGUGGCGAAGGCGGGUCUCUGGGCAUCUCCUGACGCUGAGGCGCGAAAGCGUGGGGAGCAAACGGG